Molecule: unclassified non-coding RNA, 336 nt
Filed under: soil metagenome
Description: partial contains 5.8S ribosomal RNA, internal transcribed spacer 2, and large subunit ribosomal RNA
Rfam family: 5.8S ribosomal RNA (bases 1-120)
Source: RNAcentral
GAUGAAGAACGCAGCGAAAUGCGAUAAGUAAUGUGAAUUGCAGAAUUCAGUGAAUCAUCGAAUCUUUGAACGCACAUUGCGCCCGCCAGUAUUCUGGCGGGCAUGCCUGUUCGAGCGUCAUUUCAACCAUCAAGCCCCCGGCUUGUGUUGGGGACCUGCGGCUGCCGCAGGCCCUGAAAAGCAGUGGCGGGCUCGCUGUCACACCGAGCGUAGUAGCAUACAUCUCGCUCAGGGCGUGCUGCGGGUUCCGGCCGUUAAACCACCUUCAUAACCCAAGGUUGACCUCGGAUCAGGUAGGAAGACCCGCUGAACUUAAGCAUAUCAAUAAGCGGAGGA